GGGCGAAUGGUCUAGGGGUAUGAUACUCCCUUCGCAUGUCAUUGUCGGUAUUGGUAGGAUUCACGUCUUACUCUGUACGCUUGACAAAUCUCUGCCUGGGAGGGGUCCGGGGUUCAAUUCCCCGUUUGUCCA
Xylaria intraflava is the source of this 132-nucleotide non-coding RNA. Lineage: Eukaryota; Fungi; Ascomycota; Sordariomycetes; Xylariales; Xylariaceae. The record is from the annotation of a GenBank genome assembly.